RNAcentral lists this unclassified non-coding RNA (303 nucleotides) under Myxococcus sp. 105. Its description in RNAcentral is "partial RNAseP RNA". It matches the Rfam family "Bacterial RNase P class A", at positions 60 to 320 of the family's 367-position model. Rfam says of the family: Ribonuclease P (RNase P) is a ubiquitous endoribonuclease, found in archaea, bacteria and eukarya as well as chloroplasts and mitochondria. Its best characterised activity is the generation of mature 5'-ends of tRNAs by cleaving the 5'-leader elements of precursor-tRNAs. Lineage: Bacteria; Pseudomonadati; Myxococcota; Myxococcia; Myxococcales; Myxococcaceae. The record is from RNAcentral.
CAGAGGGCAGGGUGCUGGCUAACGGCCAGUCGAGGCGACUCGCAGGAAAGUGCCACAGAAAACAGACCGCCCGCUCCGCGAGGGGCGGGUAAGGGUGAAACGGUGCGGUAAGAGCGCACCGCGUCCGGGGUGACUCGGACGGCUCGGUAAACCCCACCUGGAGCAAGAGCCAAUAGGAGCGCGUCCCCGCUGUCCGGGGGACAGGGGUUGCCCGCCCCAUGCGUUCGGGUUGCUCGCUGAUGAGGUCCCUGGGCAACCAGGGCCCUAGAUGAAUGUUCAUCGCCCGUCCCGAAAGGGGCGGGA